UACCUCCGGUUCCAAUGCACUCUACGCGUAAAUCUUUCGCCUUUUACUAAAGAUUUCCGUGCAUUGGAGCGAUAACGAGAUUAGAUUUUUUAAUUUUUGGAAGACCGUAUGGGUCU
RNAcentral lists this small nuclear RNA (116 nucleotides) under Soboliphyme baturini. RNAcentral's name for it is "U5 spliceosomal RNA". It matches the Rfam family "U5 spliceosomal RNA". From Rfam's summary of the family: U5 RNA is a component of both types of known spliceosome. Lineage: Eukaryota; Metazoa; Nematoda; Enoplea; Dioctophymatida; Soboliphymatidae. The record is from Rfam by way of RNAcentral.